CAGCAGCCGCGGGAAAACGUAGGUGGCAAGCGUUGUCCGGAAUUAUUGGACGUAAAGGGCUCGCAGGCGGUUUCUUAAGUCUGAUGUGAAAGCCCCCGGCUCAACCGGGGAGGGUCAUUGGAAACUGGGAAACUUGAGUGCAGAAGAGGAGAGUGGAAUUCCACGUGUAGCGGUGAAAUGCGCAGAGAUGUGGAGGAACACCAGCGGCGAAGGCGACUCUCUGGUCUGUAACUGACGCUGAGGAGCGGAAGCGUGGGGAGCGAACAGGAUUAGAUACCCCAGUAGUCCCUGUCUCUUAUAC
This 301-nucleotide ribosomal RNA is filed under the name uncultured bacterium. Its description in RNAcentral is "partial 16S ribosomal RNA". It matches the Rfam family "Bacterial small subunit ribosomal RNA", at positions 509 to 807 of the family's 1533-position model. The record is from RNAcentral.